RNAcentral lists this ribosomal RNA (371 nucleotides) under uncultured bacterium. Its description in RNAcentral is "partial 16S ribosomal RNA". It matches the Rfam family "Bacterial small subunit ribosomal RNA", at positions 338 to 706 of the family's 1533-position model. The record is from RNAcentral.
CCUACGGGUGGCAGCAGUGAGGAAUAUUGGUCAAUGGACGCAAGUCUGAACCAGCCAUGCCGCGUGCAGGAAGACGGCUCUAUGAGUUGUAAACUGCUUUUGUACGAGGGUAAACGCAGAUACGUGUAUCUGUCUGAAAGUAUCGUACGAAUAAGGAUCGGCUAACUCCGUGCCAGCAGCCGCGGUAAUACGGAGGAUUCAAGCGUUAUCCGGAUUUAUUGGGGUUAAAGGGUGCGUAGGCGGUCGGAUAAGUUAGAGGUGAAAUCCCGAGGCUCAACUUCGGAAUUGCCUCUGAUACGGUGCGGGUAGAGAGUAGGUGCGGUAGGCGGAAUGUAUGGGGUAGCGGUGAAAUGCAGAGAGAUCGUGCAGAA